This 666-nucleotide ribosomal RNA is filed under the name Bacillus licheniformis. RNAcentral describes it as "bacterial SSU rRNA". It matches the Rfam family "Bacterial small subunit ribosomal RNA", at positions 818 to 1489 of the family's 1533-position model. Lineage: Bacteria; Bacillati; Bacillota; Bacilli; Caryophanales; Bacillaceae. The record is from RNAcentral.
UAGUGUUAGAGGGUUUCCGCCCUUUAGUGCUGCAGCAAACGCAUUAAGCACUCCGCCUGGGGAGUACGGUCGCAAGACUGAAACUCAAAGGAAUUGACGGGGGCCCGCACAAGCGGUGGAGCAUGUGUUUAAUUCGAAGCAACGCGAAGAACCUUACCAGGUCUUGACAUCCUCUGACAACCCUAGAGAUAGGGCUUCCCCUUCGGGGGCAGAGUGACAGGUGGUGCAUGGUUGUCGUCAGCUCGUGUCGUGAGUGUUGGGUUAAGUCCCGCAACGAGCGCAACCCUUGAUCUUAGUUGCCAGCAUUCAGUUGGGCACUCUAAGGUGACUGCCGGUGACAAACCGGAGGAAGGUGGGGAUGACGUCAAAUCAUCAUGCCCCUAUGACCUGGGCUACACACGUGCUACAAUGGGCAGAACAAAGGGCAGCGAAGCCGCGAGGCUAAGCCAAUCCCACAAAUCUGUUCUCAGUUCGGAUCGCAGUCUGCAACUCGACUGCGUGAAGCUGGAUCGCUAGUAAUCGCGGAUCAGCAUGCCGCGGUGAAUACGUUCCCGGGCCUUGUACACACCGCCCGUCACACCACGAGAGUUUGUAACACCCGAAGUCGGUGAGGUAACCUUUUGGAGCCAGCCGCCAAGGUGGGACAGAUGAUUGGGGUGAAGUCGA